AACGAACGCUGGCGGCAGGCUUAACACAUGCAAGUCGAACGCAUCCUUCGGGGUGAGUGGCAGACGGGUGAGUAACGCGUGGGAAUCUACCCAUCUCUGCGGAAUAGCUCCGGGAAACUGGAAUUAAUACCGCAUACGCCCUACGGGGGAAAGAUUUAUCGGGGAUGGAUGAGCCCGCGUUGGAUUAGCUAGUUGGUGGGGUAAAGGCCUACCAAGGCGACGAUCCAUAGCUGGUCUGAGAGGAUGAUCAGCCACAUUGGGACUGAGACACGGCCCAAACUCCUACGGGAGGCAGCAGUGGGGAAUAUUGGACAAUGGGCGCAAGCCUGAUCCAGCCAUGCCGCGUGAGUGAUGAAGGCCUUAGGGUUGUAAAGCUCUUUCACCGAUGAAGAUAAUGACGGUAGUCGGAGAAGAAGCCCCGGCUAACUUCGUGCCAGCCGCCGCUGUAA
RNAcentral lists this ribosomal RNA (449 nucleotides) under uncultured bacterium. RNAcentral's name for it is "partial 16S ribosomal RNA". It matches the Rfam family "Bacterial small subunit ribosomal RNA", at positions 29 to 523 of the family's 1533-position model. The record is from RNAcentral.